AUUAUAAAAAUUUUAAAUUAUGAUGCAAGUCGAAAAAUAUUAUUUCGUUAAAAAAUAUACCUUUAAAAUAAAUGCAAAUAACAUUUUAGCUUUUAACCGUAAAUCUUUAAGUUUCGCUUAAAAUUAUUUAUGGAAAUUUUUAAGAGUGUCCAUCUCUUAAAAAUUUGAAAACUUUAUGGACAUUAUAAAACUAGACUUUUCUAGAUCUUUUAAGUUAAAUUAUUACUUAAUUCCUUUUAAUUUGUUCAUUUUAAAUGAACUAAACUUGUGAACGAUUAAUUUAUCACUUUUAUAAUGGACGUGG
Molecule: small RNA, 304 nt
Filed under: Bolidomonas sp. OLI46SE
Lineage: Eukaryota; Bolidophyceae; Parmales; Triparmaceae
Description: transfer-messenger RNA Bolid_sp_OLI46S
Source: RNAcentral